AAUAAAUAAAGCCCGAGCCUGGCUCGGCCUAGGCCCUCUCGCUAAACUUAAAGUGGGCUUGGUCCUGGGCUUCCUGGGCUUGAAAAAGCCCGGCCUAAGCCCAUUGUUUGUCAUCCCUAUUCAUAACAGCAAAAGAGUGAUUACACGGUAUACCAAGGGACUGUAUAAGAUUGCAUGUGCACACAAGCUUGGAAUCUGCUUCAUGAAAAACAACCCUCCAAGAACGAUCCUCCAACUUGAAUUUUUUUAAUCACAUAUACUCGGAGACCAACAUCUGACAUACGAUUAGAGAUGUAUAACAAUCCAUCGUCGCGGAGUUCUUUAAGAACACAAUUGAAUACUCUGCGAGUAUAUAUUAUUGCAGCUUGCUGCUCAUAAUGCUUCUGCAAAUGGUGAUCAAAAUAAGCAUUGUCUGCUCAUCCUCAGCCUCCUUAUAACGUAGUUGUGAAAUCAAAAAUUUCACUUGCAUCACAAACUCAAAUAACAUAAGUUUGCCACCCACAUAUUGAUUUAUGUAUGCAUUCAUAAUCAGUUAAAAACCAGUUGUACUGGUACCAUGCAUGCCUUGUAUGAGAUCCAGCGCUGCAUGGUAGGUUAACUCUUUAUUAUAUUCUAUAAUUGAGCAAAUCCAUUAUUGCCCACACUUAUCACAUAGAAUCAAAUGGUGGCAACAACCAAAGCCAAUUGAGUUUCUUGUAUGUAUGUACAUGUAUGGGGAAUCUCUAUAAUGGCAAAGCUUUUGUUAGAAACAAUAUAACAAACAACCAAUAAAUAUAGGUCAUUGAUUUUGACAUUUCUUAAAUCCAAUGGAUGAGAACUAUUUUAACGUAAAACCAAGUAUAGGUGUGAUAGUAAUUUAUGAAAAAUUUUAUUUUUAAUCACAUAUUUACUUUUUUUAAAAUAAGUUCUCAUUGAUUUUAUAUAAUUAAAUAGUUUUGUUGUCCAUCUCUUCUACAUCUAUUUUUAAACUUUAUAGAGUUUUUACCAUAUUUUUACAAAGAUCUAAUUGAUUAUCAUAUUCAUAAAGAUUCACAAAUUUUGAAUGUCUUUUUGCACCUGUAUUUAUAAUUUUUUGUCUCUCUUGAGACAUAGACAAGAUUUUUCUUCUAAUGCACACACACACACACAUAUUCAAUCUAUUUUUUCAUCCUAAACACGUACCAUCAAUUUUGUCAUAUAGAUUUUGUAAUCUAAAUUUAGUAUCCUAAAUUAUAAUAGAUAUUAUAUGUGAUAAAUAUGUUAUGAAUCUAAUAAAUUAUUAGAAAGAUGAUACAAUGAAUUAAUUACCGGAACCUCUAAUAAUUUCACAAAACAUAAAAAUCAAUAAGUUACCACCUUCUAGCUAUAAGAAAAAAAGGAUUUUUCUAUGGAAGAUUUAAAUCCUGUGAUAUGAUCAAUGAUUUAGAUAUGGAGAAAUAAUCAAUUAAAUUGAAUGUCACUAUAUUUAUU
RNAcentral lists this long non-coding RNA (1449 nucleotides) under Citrus x clementina. RNAcentral describes it as "Citrus clementina (C. clementina) long non-coding RNA (CCLE_LNC000523)". Lineage: Eukaryota; Viridiplantae; Streptophyta; Magnoliopsida; Sapindales; Rutaceae. The record is from RNAcentral.